UUGCUCUGCUCCCCCGCCCCCAG
RNAcentral lists this microRNA (23 nucleotides) under Homo sapiens (human). RNAcentral describes it as "hsa-miR-6805-3p". The record is from miRBase by way of RNAcentral. Lineage: Eukaryota; Metazoa; Chordata; Mammalia; Primates; Hominidae.